CAGUAGCCACGGUAAUACGGAGGGUGCAAGCGUUAAUCGGAAUUACUGGGCGUAAAGCGCACGCAGGCGGUCUGACAAGUCAGAUGUGAAAUCCCCGGGCUUAACCUGGGAACUGCAUUUGAAACUGUCAGGCUGGAGUCUUGUAGAGGGGGGUAGAAUUCCAGGUGUAACGGUGAAAUGCGUAGAGAUCUGGAGGAAUACCGGUGGCGAAGGCGGCCCCCUGGACAAAGACUGACGCUCAGGUGCGAAAGCGUGGGGAGCAAACAGGAUUAGAUACCCCAGUAGUCCCUGUCUCUUAUAC
RNAcentral lists this ribosomal RNA (301 nucleotides) under uncultured bacterium. Its description in RNAcentral is "partial 16S ribosomal RNA". It matches the Rfam family "Bacterial small subunit ribosomal RNA", at positions 509 to 807 of the family's 1533-position model. The record is from RNAcentral.